GAAAUGCGAUAAGUAAUGUGAAUUGCAGAAUUCAGUGAAUCAUCGAAUCUUUGAACGCACCUUGCGCUCCUUGGUAUUCCUUGGAGCAUGCCUGUUUGAGUAUCAUGAAAUCUUCAAAGUAAAUAUUUUGUUAACUCAAUUGGUUUCUACUUUGGUAUUGGAGGUCUUUGCAGCUUCACACCUGCUCCUCUUUGUUCAUUAGCUGGAUCUCAGUGUUAUGCUUGGUUCCACUCGGCGUGAUAAGUUAUCUAUCGCUGAGGACACUGUAAAAGGUGGCCAAGGUAAAUGCAGAUGAACCGCUUCUAAUGGUCCAUUGACUUGGACAAUACUUUUAUGAUCUGAUCUCAAAUCAGGUAGGACUACCCGCUGAACUUAAGC
RNAcentral lists this unclassified non-coding RNA (378 nucleotides) under plant metagenome. RNAcentral's name for it is "partial contains 5.8S ribosomal RNA, internal transcribed spacer 2, and large subunit ribosomal RNA". The stretch from base 1 to 105 matches the Rfam family "5.8S ribosomal RNA", at positions 50 to 154 of the family's 154-position model. The record is from RNAcentral.